UACGUAGGGGGCAAGCGUUGUCCGGAAUCAUUGGGCGUAAAGAGCGUGUAGGCGGCUCGGUAAGUCCGCUGUAAAAGUCCAGGGCUCAACCCUGGAAAGCCGGUGGAAACUGUCGAGCUAGAGUCCGGAAGAGGCGAGUGGAAUUCCUGGUGUAGCGGUGAAAUGCGCAGAUAUCAGGAGGAACACCAAUGGCGAAGGCAGCUCGCUGGGACGGUACUGACGCUGAGACGCGAAAGCGUGGGGAGGAAACAGG
This 253-nucleotide ribosomal RNA is filed under the name uncultured bacterium. RNAcentral's name for it is "partial 16S ribosomal RNA". It matches the Rfam family "Bacterial small subunit ribosomal RNA", at positions 524 to 776 of the family's 1533-position model. The record is from RNAcentral.